AUGUUAUAUAAAUUUAAAUAUACCAAAAGUAGAGGGAAAAAAAAAAAUACACAUAAAAAAAAAAAUUCCUUUUAUAUUUAUGCAAAUGAAAAAGAGAAAUUCAUGUGUAUACCGUUUUUGAUUUGUGCAAAGGAUACUAAUAAAAUAAAUUUAAAUUUUCAAUUAUUUUAUAAAAGUAUGUACAUACAAGAUCAUAUCGAGUAUUCACUUCAUUAUUCGUUGGUUCCAUCUUUAAUGGUUAUGUUUACUCGCAUUAAUGUAUGUAGUGAAAAAAAUAAAGAGGCAAGUAAUAAAGAGAGUAAUAAUGUAUGUGUUUCUCAGAGUGCGAGUAAUAUAUUAAAUGUGGAUAAUAACUAUAACAAUAGUAAUAACAACGUGAAUAACAACGUGAAUAACAACGUGAAUAACAAUGUGAAUAACAAUGUGAAUAACAAUGUGAAUAACAGUGUGAAUAACAAUGUGAAUAACAAUGUGAAUAAAAGUAUGAACAAAAAUGUGAACAAAAAUGUGGAGAAAAAUAGUGAUACAAAUAUGAAUAGCAUUAUGCUCAGCGGACAUAAAGAUAAUAUGAUGGAAGGUACCAAAAACAAAGAAAUGCUUGAAAAAAAAUACUUUGUUAACAACAAAAUAGAUAAUGAUAACUAUAAUCCAAGUUUAAAAGAGAAUGAAGUAUACUAUUAUAUAUACUUAUACAAUAAUAAUGUGAAUAGUAUAUUUAUUAAAAGCAUAACAAACGGUAAUUUUAAUAAGAAAGUAAAAUUGAACAGUAAAAAUACUUAUUGUGAUUUUAUAAAAAUUGAUAGUAAAAAAUAUAUAGAAAUAUUAUAUGAAUAUGAUUAUAAAACAUUUUUUUUCCCUUUUAAUAAAAUACUUAAAAAUAUAAUGUUAAGUAAAAAAAUAAAAAUAUUAGACUAUGAUUUUGAAAGCGUUAAAGAUUUAGCUAAUAAUAAUGAGCAGAAAAAAAGUAAAAUAAAAAUAGAUAUCAUUUAUAAUAAAAUUGUAAAAUGUAAUAAACAUUUUACAAUUGAAUCUGUUAUAACAAAUGAAACAAAUAUUACUGAAGAAGUUAUUAUAUUUUUAUAUGACAAAAAGAGUAAUAGAAGAAAUAAAAAAAAUAAAAAUAACCAACUGGACAAUAAAAUAAAAAACAAAAAUGAUAAAAAUAAAUUCAAAUUAGAUUUAAUGACUAAUAAAAAUAAUAAAAAAAAUCAAGAUUAUAAUACAACAAAAAGUAAAAAAAAUAAAAUUAUUUAUAAUGAACAAAAUAUAUCCGACAACAGUAACUCAGAUUUUUCUUCUUCUUAUUCAACAGACGAUUUGGAAAAUAUAAUUAAUAAUAAAAAUUUUUGUUUAUCAGAUAAUGAUGUCCUAAAUGAAUAUUAUUUAAAAAAAAAAUAUUUUAUCACAGGUUUGAGAAUAAUGAAAAAUAUAUUGUUACCAUACCAAUCUAUUCGAAUAAAAUGGUCAUUUAUUGUUUUUGCAUAUGGUCAUAUACGUUUGCCUAAUGUGUUAGUAAAAAGAAAAACAAAAAUAAAAAACAAUAUUAACGUUUUUUCAUCAGAAAAAAUUGAGCUCUUAGUAAUUUAA
Molecule: long non-coding RNA, 1587 nt
Organism: Piliocolobus tephrosceles (Ugandan red Colobus)
Lineage: Eukaryota; Metazoa; Chordata; Mammalia; Primates; Cercopithecidae
Source: Ensembl